CCUACGGGAGGCAGCAGUGAGGAAUAUUGGUCAAUGGACGAGAGUCUGAACCAGCCAUGCCGCGUGAAGGAUGACUGCCCUAUGGGUUGUAAACUUCUUUUAUACGGGAAUAAAACGUUCCACGUGUGGGGUGUUGUAUGUACCAUACGAAUAAGGAUCGGCUAACUCCGUGCCAGCAGCCGCGGUAAUACGGAGGAUCCGAGCGUUAUCCGGAUUUAUUGGGUUUAAAGGGAGCGUAGGUGGUUUGAUAAGUCAGUUGUGAAAGUUUGGGGCUCAACCCUGAAACUGCAGUUGAGACUGGCAGUCUUGAGUACAGUAGCGGUAGGCGGAAUUCAUGGUGUAGCGGUGAAAUGCUUAGAGAUCACGAAGAACACCGAUUGCGAAGGCAGUUCACUGAACUACAACUGACGCUGAGGCUCGAAAGUGUGGGUAGCAAACAGGAUUAGAUACCCUGGUAGUC
Molecule: ribosomal RNA, 460 nt
Filed under: uncultured bacterium
Lineage: Bacteria
Description: partial 16S ribosomal RNA
Rfam family: Bacterial small subunit ribosomal RNA
Source: RNAcentral